RNAcentral lists this small RNA (18 nucleotides) under Arabidopsis thaliana (thale cress). Its description in RNAcentral is "ATSL141260". Lineage: Eukaryota; Viridiplantae; Streptophyta; Magnoliopsida; Brassicales; Brassicaceae. The record is from RNAcentral.
GGUUCAUGCCACACAAUU